AUGAGGGCGACCGUAUCUCCCCCCGCCCCCACCCACGCGCGCGAGCCCUCCAGAUCCGCAACUUCGAGCUCCUGCAGUACCGUUGGCAGCCACGAGCAGGUCCUGGAGCAUGCUGCUGCUGCUCCGGUGCGGGGCAGAGGAGACCGGGGCGCAGGCGCACGUGCUGCAGCGGCAGCUGGACAAGGACUGCGCGCGGGCGGAGCAGAAGCCGUUCUGGAAGGGCGGCGGCGAGCAGAAGCCUUCUGGAAGGAGCGGCGCGCGGCGCAGCAGCAGCCGGCGGCAUCGUCGCGGCUGAGCACGCCGGUCGCUAAGGGGGCGGAGGCCAGGCAGGCUGUGAACGCGAGAAAGAGGAGACGGGGAUGA
RNAcentral lists this ribosomal RNA (363 nucleotides) under Triticum aestivum (bread wheat). RNAcentral's name for it is "partial small subunit ribosomal RNA". The record is from RNAcentral. Lineage: Eukaryota; Viridiplantae; Streptophyta; Magnoliopsida; Poales; Poaceae.